UGAAACUGGAUGCAGUGCUUCCAGUUCUCAAUUUCGUGUGAUUAAUGGCAGUGGUCGUUUCCACUUCUAACCUGUUAACAGAUGCAUAACACCCUCAAGGUCCAUCUGUGUUGUCGCAAGUGGCAAGAUUUCAUCUUUUGUAUGGCUGAGUAGUAUUCCAAGAAGACUAACACUGAGGACCUCUGGACUUCAGAAUCUCCAUCUGUGCAAGGAGGAUACAACAUGUACCCUUCCUACCUCCAAGGAUGGUGCAAGGAUCAAAUAAGUCUUCUUCAUUUGAGCACACUGCUGAGCUGCGUGAAGAUGACUGCCUAAGUUGUGUGUCUCCACUGAGACUGGACGUCGGCAGCACAUCGCAGGGCCCACUGCUCACGGUAACAUGGGCGCAAGAGGACGUUCGGGGCUUUACCUGAGGAGGAAAAGGUGAACUUCAAUACUGACACUUCAUAUACCUCAUGCUGUUCUUGGAAAAGAUCAUUUUUAAGUAACUCACUAGUGUAGGUAUAAAAUAAAAGUUCUCCCCGAACAUAUAUUUCAAUGAAACAUUUAAAAAAAUCGAGAUGAAAUUUGUGUUGGUAUUAGUAUGCAUUAGUCAGGAUGAUUUUGUUUCACGUGAUUGAAACUAACUCAAAUUAGUUAGGGAAUAGGAGAUUUCCUUGCCUCAUGUAACCAAACGUCAGGACAGACAAAGCUGCCCCGAGACCUCAGGGGCUCCAGUGGGCCAUGUCACCUGCUUGUCUCUUCUUUGCUCUUCAUAUUGUGUCUAUUCUCCCAGACUAGCUUCAUCCACAUGGCUGGAAAGAUGGCUAACAGUAAUUUCCAGGCUCAUAGUUUCAUCACUAGAGAGGGAUUAAAACUCAGUCACCCCGUUGUCAGGUUAAAACUCCCUGGGAAAGGUUUUCAUUGCAUCAGGUGUUAUCCAGGGACCAGUCAGCUGCAGCCAGGAGGAUAAGAUAUGGCCAUCAGUUCAUCUGCGUCUACCUGGGCAGCCCUGACCACCCACUGCCAUCAAGAUGGAUGACAGGAAUUCUCACGCGGAGAGUGACUGGAACGGAGAAAGGGGUGUUCUGUGGAAGGGUACAGCAAGUAACGAGUGGAUAGAACAAAAGAUGUCAUGUAUUAGAUUUCUCUUAUCCCCACUAUUUCCACCCACCAGACUAAUUUUUUUUUUUUGAGGAAGACUAGCCCUGAGCUGACAUCUGCUGCCAAUCCUCCUCUUCUUGCUGAGGAAGACUGGCCCUGAGGUAACAUCCAUGCCCAUCUUCCUUUAUUUUAUAUGUGGGAUGCCUACCACAGCAUGGCUUGCCAAGCAGUGCCAUGUCUGCACCAGGGAUCCGAACCAGCGAACCACGGGCCACCGAAGCGGAACGUGUGCACUGAACUGCUGUGCCACCGCGCCGGCCCCAGCCGGACUAAUUUUAUAUUCUUUUUUGGCUUUGGCAUAUAGACCAG
RNAcentral lists this long non-coding RNA (1452 nucleotides) under Equus caballus (horse). Its description in RNAcentral is "lncRNA (ENSECAG00000050417.1)". The record is from RNAcentral. Lineage: Eukaryota; Metazoa; Chordata; Mammalia; Perissodactyla; Equidae.